UACGUAGGGACCGAGCGUUGUCCGGAUUCAUUGGGCGUAAAGAGCUCGUAGGCGGCUGUUCAAGUCGAACGUGAAAACUCGGAGCUCAACUCCGAGCCUGCGUUCGAUACUGGACGGCUAGAGUCUGGUAGGGGGAUCUGGAAUUCCUGGUGUAGCGGUGGAAUGCGCAGAUAUCAGGAGGAACACCGGUGGCGAAGGCGGCUCUCUGGGACGGUACUGACGCUGAGACGCGAAAGCGUGGGGAGCGAACAGG
This 253-nucleotide ribosomal RNA is filed under the name uncultured bacterium. RNAcentral describes it as "partial 16S ribosomal RNA". It matches the Rfam family "Bacterial small subunit ribosomal RNA", at positions 524 to 776 of the family's 1533-position model. The record is from RNAcentral.